Molecule: long non-coding RNA, 425 nt
Filed under: Rosa chinensis
Lineage: Eukaryota; Viridiplantae; Streptophyta; Magnoliopsida; Rosales; Rosaceae
Description: sRNA RchiOBHm_Chr2g0085741
Source: RNAcentral
GUAGGCUCGAUACAGCUCGUGUUCGACUCGUAUUCGGCUCGAUUUUAGCUCGUUCGGCUCGUGUUCGUAAGAUAAAUGAGCCGAGCUUGAGCUCAAUAUUAAGCUCGGCCAAAAAACGAGCCGAGCUUGAGCAAAGAUAUAUUCGGCUCGUCUAGCUCGUGAGUAGCUCGUAUUUUCCAUGAGUAGCUCGAGCUUGUUAAAACUCGGCUCGUUUGUUAAAGCUCAACUAAUGAAAUUUAUACUAUAAAAAUAUAAUUAUUCUAAUCUCAAUUCUUCAAUUCUUUUUAUUACAUUCCUUUUCAAUUGGAAGAGAAUCUGAGUUGGCCCCAUUCUUAUUUAAUUAGUUUAAGUGCAAUUUUGAGUUGGAUUCAUCAUUUUGAGUUUAUUCUAGACAAUAAAAGGGAUUUGUAUGAUGGUCAGACAUC